ACUGGCGGCCUCAGUCCUUGUGUUUGGAGCAGUUCUGCUAGAGGAGGAAACAGCACAAAGGGCACUCUUAUGCUGCUGUAAACCAGUGCCAGGAUUUUUAAAAUGUGAGACACCUGUUACCCUAGAGUGUGAAGAGGAGGAGAAAGGCUGAAGAGGAGGAGAAAGGCUAAGAUCUUUUCCAAUGCAAAAUUAGGAAAAAAUAUACUACAGGUAAGAUGGAGCAAGCAUGCUCUGCACCUUGUGUCUCCCUCAAAAUGUGGCUCUAAAACCUGGACAGGAUACAGCAGCUAUUUGAGGUCUCUGAAAAGCAAACAGUAACAUGCAAAAAGGGGAAGAGGACAGGAAUCUGAAGUAGCACCAAACCAAUGAUUUAUGAAAAAAUAAGAAGUGAAAGUAUUCUCUGACUGCAAGUAUGACCACCUGUCUUUCUAUAUCAGAACCCAAGCUAAAAGACUGCAUUUACUACCCUUCCUUGCUAACAAGAGUGACUACGUGACUAUGUUCUGGCCAAUGCAAACAGCCUGAAAAGCUGAUGUAAUGACUGGAUCUUCAGCAGCCACCUUGAGCAAGAGGUAGAAGCUAGAGGCUGAGGAAUGAUGGAGCAGAAAGGAAGGAGCUGGGGUUCCUAUUAACAUCCUGAAGCUACACUAUCAGGCCUGGACUGACCAACUCUUUCUGGCCUUCUUUUACAAGAGAAAAAUACAGUUAUUUAAACCACUAUACUUCUGUUUUCUUUUUUGGGGUAUAGAUAACUGAACCUAAUCCUGUCCCAAAUCCUGAUCCUAUCUAACCAGUGUUAGCUAUCAGCCCAUACGUAUACUGGAGAAUGACGUUUAACAAAAUAAGAUGUUAAAGUUCUAACUAAUUGUAAUAAUCAUGCAGUUUUCUCAUGCUGAACAAAGUUAAAGAAAUAUAAUGUGUGUUUCCUAAAGAGUGUCAUUUUUUGGAAAGAUAACAUGGGGCACAAAGUAACAUAAAAAUCUACAUAUAAUUAUGUAAACAUUGCUUUGACAUACAACACCAAAUAUUUUUAUUGUAUUUGUGAAUGCAUUUCUUGGUAAUAAAACGGCAGUUAUGAAUAAGUGAUACUUGGAAAGCUAUAACAUAAUGGGAGGAGAAGGUAUUAACACUGUGAUUUUAUGGGGUUGAAUCAGUUUUAGUUUCUUAUACAACUCAGAGCUUUACGUUAUUUAGACUGUCUAAACACUGGCGCAAGGUAGCAUUUUACUUAUCAAAACACUGGAGGAGGCAGUCUAUUUUAUGUGGGAAUAAUAGCUUUUUAACAGUGUUCGAUUAGGAGACAUUAGGAACCUUGCCUUGAAAACCAUUAGCAAAUUUAUCUAGAAGAUUUUACGUUACAUCUUAAAACAACCAGCUGCUAAGGACAUCCUAAACUGCUUAGUAUGCCAAUUUGCCUCAGAUGCUUGCCAUAUAAGCUGCUUUCAGGAGUCAGCAAUGAGUAUCAUAGAUACUUGAGGAUAAAAGGUUGAAGGAUAUUGGCAUUCAAAGAUGAAGCCAGAAACCCUGUACAGCCAAAAAAAUUAAACUUGCAUUUUACUUUGGAGUGAAAUGUCUUUGCUAUUUCCAAAGUUUUUAACUUUUGGGUUCUCAACUAGCCCUAGCAAUAUAAGGGCCUGACUAAUGACUCUUCCCAACAUUGUCAAACUUAAUUCAAACUUGAAAUCAAUCCCCUUUUUUUUCCUCCUAAAGCAAAGUAACUCACAAUAAUAAUAUGAGUACAUGUGAAUGGCCAAUUUAGAAGUUUAAGUCAUUCUUUUGUAAUCAGUACUAGAAUUAACUAGUGAUUUUUUUUUUUGGCAAGGAAUAACAAAAUAAUAGAAACUCCAUAUAUAUUAGAAAAAGAUCUGUAAGUUUGAGCCUUAUAUAUUAUUACAAUGUGGCAAUCAAGAGGAAAACUCAAGACAACUGUGCGCUGUGCUUGUCCUGUUUUGUUCAAACCACGAUAAUUUUAAAUAAAUAGUAAUGUUCAACAUUCACUGAUGACAUUAUCUAUCAACCACAUCACACCUGGAACACAGUAGAUAAUAAAUGGCAGCUGUUAUACCUUCCUUCUUGAAACAAAAUCCUGUCAUUUCAUUCUCAUUUUAACUUUGUGUUAAGCUUCUACAAUCCAUAAAAAUGAUAAAACAAUAAAAUGGUCCAACAUUAAAAAAAAAAAAAAAAAA
Molecule: long non-coding RNA, 2186 nt
Filed under: Homo sapiens (human)
Lineage: Eukaryota; Metazoa; Chordata; Mammalia; Primates; Hominidae
Description: LANCL1 antisense RNA 1 (LANCL1-AS1)
Source: RNAcentral